GAUGAAGAACGCAGCGAAAUGCGAUAAGUAAUGUGAAUUGCAGAAUUCAGUGAAUCAUCGAAUCUUUGAACGCACAUUGCGCCCGCCAGUAUUCUGGCGGGCAUGCCUGUUCGAGCGUCAUUUCAACCAUCAAGCCCCAGGCUUGUGUUGGGGACCUGCGGCUGCCGCAGGCCCUGAAAACCAGUGGCGGGCUCGCUGUCACACCGGGCGUAGUAGAUUUUAUCUCGCUCAGGGCGUGCUGCGGGUUCCGGCCGUUAAAAAGCCUUUUUUACCCAAGGUUGACCUCGGAUCAGGUAGGAAGACCCGCUGAACUUAAGCAUAUCAAUAAGCGGAGGA
RNAcentral lists this unclassified non-coding RNA (336 nucleotides) under soil metagenome. Its description in RNAcentral is "partial contains 5.8S ribosomal RNA, internal transcribed spacer 2, and large subunit ribosomal RNA". The stretch from base 1 to 120 matches the Rfam family "5.8S ribosomal RNA", at positions 35 to 154 of the family's 154-position model. The record is from RNAcentral.